CUCUAUCACUGCUAAUUAUAUACCCUCACAGGGUAAAAGUUUCAGAGAGUAUAUUUGAUGAAAGGAAAAAACAUAAUGAGAGUCGUGGCGUUACCUAUUAAUAAUCAGUAUCUGCAGCUUCAGAGUGAUAUGGUCAGGACAAAUUAACAUUUAUGUGGAUAGCUUGGCCACCGCUUUUUUUAAUCUUAUGCUAAGCCGCGUUCCCGUGGAGUGGUCAGUGGAAACAAGAUAAUACAGGAAACAGAAAAAAGAUAAUGCCCAAGUAGCGGUGAAAAGCAUAUAAUACUGGAGGAACGCCAGUGGGAAACGAUACUUUGUCUUAAACAAAUUUGAGCGGAAAGCAGUGGGAGCAAACAGGAUAGAUACCCUGUAGUCAUGCCGUAAAGAUGAGUUUAAUGUAGUGGGUUUCCGCCCUUAGUGGUGCAGUAAGCAUUAAGCCUCCGCUGGGGAGUACGACCCAAGGUUGAAACUCAAAGGAAUUGACGGGGGCCGCACAAGCGGUGGAGCAUGUGGUUUAAUUGAAGCAACGCGAAGAACCUUACCAGGUCUUGACAUCCCAGUGACCACUCUAGAGAUAGAGUUUUCCCUUCGGGGACAUUGGUGACAGGUGGUGCAUGGUUGUCGUCAGCUCGUGUCGUGAGAUGUUGGGUUAAGUCCCGCAACGAGCGCAACCCUUGAUUUAGUUGCCAUCAUUAGUUGGGCACUCUAAGGUGACUGCCGGUGACAAACCGGAGGAAGGUGGGGAUGACGUCAAAUCAUCAUGCCCCUUAUGACCUGGGCUACACACGUGCUCAAUGGACGGUACAAAGAGUCGCUAACUCGCGAGAGUACGCUAAUCUCAUAAAACCGUUCUCAGUUCGGAUUGUAGGCUGCAACUCGCCUACAUGAAGCCGGAAUCGCUAGUAAUCGCGGAUCAGCAUGCCGCGGUGAAUACGUUCCCGGGCCUUGUACACACCGCCCGUCACACCACGAGAGUUUGUAACACCCGAAGUCGGUGAGGUAACCUUUUGGGGCCAGCCGCCGAAGGAUGAU
Molecule: ribosomal RNA, 1032 nt
Filed under: Rummeliibacillus pycnus
Lineage: Bacteria; Bacillati; Bacillota; Bacilli; Caryophanales; Caryophanaceae
Description: bacterial SSU rRNA
Rfam family: Bacterial small subunit ribosomal RNA (bases 146-1032)
Source: RNAcentral